RNAcentral lists this ribosomal RNA (468 nucleotides) under uncultured bacterium. Its description in RNAcentral is "partial 16S ribosomal RNA". It matches the Rfam family "Bacterial small subunit ribosomal RNA", at positions 28 to 507 of the family's 1533-position model. The record is from RNAcentral.
GACGAACGCUGGCGGCGUGCUUAACACAUGCAAGUCGAACGGAAAGGCCCUGCUUUUGUGGGGUGCUCGAGUGGCGAACGGGUGAGUAACACGUGAGUAACCUGCCCUUGACUUUGGGAUAACUUCAGGAAACUGGGGCUAAUACCGGAUAGGAGCUCCUGCUGCAUGGUGGGGGUUGGAAAGUUUCGGCGGUUGGGGAUGGACUCGCGGCUUAUCAGCUUGUUGGUGGGGUAGUGGCUUACCAAGGCUUUGACGGGUAGCCGGCCUGAGAGGGUGACCGGCCACACUGGGACUGAGAUACGGCCCAGACUCCUACGGGAGGCAGCAGUGGGGAAUAGUGCACAAUGGGCGGAAGCCUGAUGCAGCAACGCCGCGUGCGGGAUGACGGCCUUCGGGUUGUAAACCGCUUUCGCCUGUGACGAAGCGUGAGUGACGGUAAUGGGUAAAGAAGCACCGGCUAACUACGUG